Molecule: ribosomal RNA, 253 nt
Filed under: uncultured bacterium
Lineage: Bacteria
Description: partial 16S ribosomal RNA
Rfam family: Bacterial small subunit ribosomal RNA
Source: RNAcentral
UACGUAGGGUCCGAGCGUUGUCCGGAAUUACUGGGCGUAAAGAGCUCGUAGGUGGUUUGUCGCGUUGUUCGUGAAAACUCACAGCUCAACUGUGGGCGUGCGGGCGAUACGGGCAGACUAGAGUACUGCAGGGGAGACUGGAAUUCCUGGUGUAGCGGUGAAAUGCGUAGAUAUCGUAAGGAAGACCAGUGGCGAAGGCGGGUCUCUGGGCCGUAACUGACGCUGAGGAGCGAAAGCAUGGGGAGCGAACAGG